UACAGAGGAUGCAAGCGUUAUCCGGAAUCAUUGGGCGUAAAGCGUGUGUAGGUGGCUUUUUAAGUCCGCCGUCAAAUCCCAGGGCUCAACUCUGGACAGGCGGUGGAAACUACCAAGCUGGAGUACGGUAGGGGCAGAGGGAAUUUCCGGUGGAGCGGUGAAAUGCGUAGAGAUCGGGAAGAACACCAGCGGCGAAAGCGCUCUGCUGGGCCGGCACUGACACUGAGAGACGAAAGCUAGGGGAGCGAAUGGG
This 253-nucleotide ribosomal RNA is filed under the name uncultured bacterium. RNAcentral's name for it is "partial 16S ribosomal RNA". It matches the Rfam family "Bacterial small subunit ribosomal RNA", at positions 524 to 776 of the family's 1533-position model. The record is from RNAcentral.